GCUGGGCAUGGUGGCGCAUGCCUGUAAUCUCGGCGGCUUAGGAAACUGAGGCAGGAAGAUUGUGAGUUCAAAGCCAGCCUCAGCAAAAGUGAGGUGCUAAGCAACUCAGUGAGACCCUGUCUCUA
RNAcentral lists this small RNA (125 nucleotides) under Marmota monax (woodchuck). The record is from RNAcentral. Lineage: Eukaryota; Metazoa; Chordata; Mammalia; Rodentia; Sciuridae.